CGUCGCGCUCGCCGGCGACCGGCGCACGGGUGAGUAACACGUAUGGAACCUGCCGCAGCAGGGGGAGUAAUCGGGGGAAACCCCGGUCUAAUACCGCGAACGACCCGGAGGGGCGAUCCCUUCGGGUCCAAAGGUUUACCGGCUGCGGAUGGCCAUGCGUCGCAUUAGCUUGUUGCGGGGUAACGGCCCACCAAGGCGACGAUGCGUAGGGGUUCUGAGAGGAAGGUCCCCCANACUGGUACUGAGACACGGACCAGACUCCUACGGAAGGCAGCAG
Molecule: ribosomal RNA, 277 nt
Filed under: uncultured bacterium
Lineage: Bacteria
Description: partial 16S ribosomal RNA
Rfam family: Bacterial small subunit ribosomal RNA
Source: RNAcentral